This 219-nucleotide unclassified non-coding RNA is filed under the name Hevea brasiliensis (rubber tree). Lineage: Eukaryota; Viridiplantae; Streptophyta; Magnoliopsida; Malpighiales; Euphorbiaceae. The record is from RNAcentral.
UCCACGUUAGCAAAUUCUUUUAGGAGUUUUAGGCCCGCUUCCCCGAGCUUCUCGGCCACCAGCACAGUGGGCUUAGCGUCAAGGUUGGCGGAGAGUACUAUGAAGCGGGAUUUAAGGCGGGGCUGGCGGACUGUGAGGGAAAAGGCAGAAAGUUUGUUGUUAGAAGAAAUAGAGAGGGAGGACAGUUUGUGGCUAAGGGAUGUAGUGCGGAGGUUUGUG